AUAAUCUCGGUAGACUUAUCGGCACUGCAAUGACCAAUUAUAUUAUAAAAUUCAAAUACUACUAAGAUCGCCAGGCCGUAUUAUAAUGAGGAGAAGAGAAGAUUUUGUUUGAACAGCAGUAGAGCGAAAGCUUCGCGGGAGAAAUCUCGGAAAAAAUUUAGAUGAACGUUCUCGAAAAGGAUUUAAGAAAUCUGGGAGUGGUAGAUCGGAAAUAUGGGAUC
Cinara cedri is the source of this 221-nucleotide non-coding RNA. The record is from the annotation of a GenBank genome assembly. NCBI's taxonomy places the organism in Eukaryota, Metazoa, Arthropoda, Insecta, Hemiptera, Aphididae.